CUCUUGUUUUGGUGCUUAAUUUGUUUUGGCAAUGUUUUGGUGCUUAAUUUGUAAAAUCAUAAUGUAAUUUUAUGUUUAAUAGGCUUUUUGUUGUCGGAACCUAGGGGCAAGGACGGUGGGUUGUGUUGCCAAGUUUCGUGGUUCUGGGAUGUGUGGUUUUGUUGCAACCUUCACGGCGGCCAGUUUUUUACUCCUUUAUAUAUAUUUACAGAGUGCAAUAGGAUAUAGAAAGAUACACUUCAAUGUCCCUUGCCUGAAAUCUUCAUAGGAUUGGGUGAGGUCUUUCAGGGCAAUGCAGUGGUCAGGUUGGUAAGAAAGCCAUGCAUCUGCUCGCCAAAAGUCACUUUCUCCUGGUUCGGAAUAUUCCUCCUUUCAACGCUUGGUUCAUGUUGCAAUCCUAGAAUUCGGACAGAAGAUGGCAAUAGAGGAAUAUGGAUUUCAGGUACAUAAUACAGCAUCGAAUCAAUGCACUUCGACACCAUUUGAUCUCCCACAGCUCAAGGCUAUGAGACUCUGGAAGUUGCAGUUUUCCACGGCCUUUUGCAGCAGUGGUUGAACCUCCGAGUGGCGCAUUGAAAGCACAUGCUUUUUCACCGUAAACGAGUCCUGGUAGCUUUCCUUCCCCUUCCGACCGGAUAGCAUCCAAGGCAGCUGAGAUCCGUCACCAUCAUCUGUCCAUUGCCUUCUUCCCGAGAGAUUUGCGGGAUUUUUCAAAGGCAACGCUCAUGGGAUCAUUCCAAAAGUCAAGAGGGAGGUUUGUAGAUGGUCCCUAUUUCAUGCGACAGAGUUGGAAGGAUGAUAGCUUUAUAUUUAUUUAUUUAUUAUUUAUUUACAAUAUUUAUAUUCCGCCCUUCUUUCUCACCCCAAAGGGGACUCAGGGCGGAUCACAUUAUACACAUAUAGGCAAACAUUCAAUGUCCGUAUUAUACACAUAGAACCGAGACAGAGACAGACGCAGAGGUAAUUUAACCUUCUUCUGAGGGGAUGUUUGAUUCUGGCCACAGGGGGGAGCAGCUGCUUCAUCAUCCACUGUGAUGGCACUUCCUCAUUCCAACGUUGUAAAUUAGUUAAAUUUGUCUUUAUAAGUGGUACCUUAUUUCCUACUUGAUAGAUGCAACUAUCUUUCGGGUUGCUAGGUCAGCAACGAGCAGGAGCUAUUUUUUAUUUUUUUAAUUGACGGGUGCUCACCCCGCCACGGGCUGGCCUCGAACUCAUGACCUCUUGGUCAGAGUGAUUUAUUGCAGCAGGCUGCUCACCAGCCUGCGCCACAGCCGGGCACAGGCUGGUGCUAUACAAAGUACAAUGAUGGUUCAAAUCAUAUGUGGUACACAAUAUGUAUAUUAGAGCAUCAUAUACAUAUUACUGUAU
This 1368-nucleotide long non-coding RNA is filed under the name Anolis carolinensis (green anole). Its description in RNAcentral is "lncRNA (ENSACAG00000043628.1)". The record is from RNAcentral. Lineage: Eukaryota; Metazoa; Chordata; Lepidosauria; Squamata; Anolidae.